This 434-nucleotide ribosomal RNA is filed under the name Notaeolidia depressa. RNAcentral's name for it is "partial large subunit ribosomal RNA". It matches the Rfam family "Archaeal large subunit ribosomal RNA", at positions 1938 to 2665 of the family's 2987-position model. The record is from RNAcentral. Lineage: Eukaryota; Metazoa; Mollusca; Gastropoda; Nudibranchia; Notaeolidiidae.
UUUGUGGUUCUACCUGCCCAGUGUUUUUAUAAAUUAAAUGGCCGCGGUACUUUGACCGUGCUAAGGUAGCGUAAUCAGUUGGCUUUUAAAUGGAGUCAGGAAUGAAUGGAAUAACCGGGUUCUGCUGUCUCUAAGUUAUUAGGUUGAAUUUACUGUUUAAGUGAAAAAGCUUAAAGUUAAUAAAGGGACGAGAAGACCCUUAGAAUUUUUUUAAAAGUAAGAGUAAACACUUUUCUUAUAAUAAUUUUGUUGGGGUGACGGAGAAAUAGCUUAUAAACUUUCUUUUUAAAUACAGGCCGGGUAUUUCAUGUAAGGAUAAAUUACCUGAGGGAUAACAGCAUAAUUUUAUAAAUGAGUUUGUGACCUCGAUGUUGGACUAGGAAACUGGCAGGUUAGCCACUUGCAGUGUGGGUUCUGUUCGAACUUUAAUUCCU